GAUGAACGCUGGCGGCGUGCCCAAUACAUGCAAGUCGAGCGAACAGACGAGGAGCUUGCUCCUCUGACGUUAGCGGCGGACGGGUGAGUAACACGUGGAUAACCUACCUAUAAGACUGGGAUAACUUCGGGAAACCGGAGCUAAUACCGGAUAAUAUAUUGAACCGCAUGGUUCAAUAGUGAAAGACGGUUUUGCUGUCACUUAUAGAUGGAUCCGCGCCGCAUUAGCUAGUUGGUAAGGUAACGGCUUACCAAGGCAACGAUGCGUAGCCGACCUGAGAGGGGGAUCGGCCACACUGGAACUGAGACACGGUCCAGACUCCUACGGGAGGCAGCAGUAGGGAAUCUGCCGCAAUGGGCGAAAGCCUGACGGAGCAACGCCGCGUGAGUGAUGAAGGUCUGCGGAUCGUAAAACUCUGUUAUUAGGGAAGAACAAAUGUGUAAGUAACUAUGCACGUCUUGACGGUACCUAAUCAGAAAGCCACGGCUAACUACGU
RNAcentral lists this ribosomal RNA (496 nucleotides) under uncultured bacterium. RNAcentral's name for it is "partial 16S ribosomal RNA". It matches the Rfam family "Bacterial small subunit ribosomal RNA", at positions 28 to 506 of the family's 1533-position model. The record is from RNAcentral.